Molecule: non-coding RNA, 551 nt
Organism: Peromyscus maniculatus bairdii (prairie deer mouse)
Lineage: Eukaryota; Metazoa; Chordata; Mammalia; Rodentia; Cricetidae
Source: RefSeq, a predicted model, not a curated record
CUUGGGACACGCCCGCUGUUGAGUCACCAAAGAGGGCGUGUCCUCUCUCCCUGGACGCGCCCCCAAUGCCUAAGCCUCGAGGACCGGAUCCAAAUAGGCCUUGGUUGGGGUGGCAGGUGUGUGGUUUCCCCGGGAAGUGGAGGGUUGUGGAAUAUUUGUACACUGUGUGAAGACGUAUUUCUGUGAUUGGUGUAAUAAAAAACUGAAUGGCCAAUAGCUAGGCGGGAGACUUCUGGGCAGAGAAGAACACUGGGACGGAGAAAGGUGGAGUCGCCAGCUGGAAGCAGAGGAAGCAGGACUUGCAGGAGGAGAGGUGGUUCUGUAUUAUGCCAAGUCAACAAUCAAAACUUCACCAUCACAGUGAGCAACAAAGGGAUGGUUCAGUGUCUACCACUUCUCAGUCUUGGUGGGCUCCAUUCCAUAUGUCCCAGGGGAGGGGCAUGUCUGGUGACACCAAUAGGUGUAGUGGGUAGCUGUUCCAGCUUUGACCUGGAAGUACUACCCCCAUUGAGGCUUCCGGUAACUGUCAUGCCUAUGAGGCAGGGUGGAAA